RNAcentral lists this ribosomal RNA (253 nucleotides) under uncultured bacterium. RNAcentral's name for it is "partial 16S ribosomal RNA". It matches the Rfam family "Bacterial small subunit ribosomal RNA", at positions 524 to 776 of the family's 1533-position model. The record is from RNAcentral.
UACGUAGGUGGCAAGCGUUGUCCGGAGUUAUUGGGCGUAAAGCGCGCGCAGGCGGUGCGGUAAGUCUCUGGUGAAAGCGCUCGGCUUAACUGGGCGAGGGCCGGGGAGACUGCCACGCUGGAGGGGAGCAGAGGCGAGUGGAAUUCCGGGUGUAGUGGUGAAAUGCGUAGAGAUCCGGAGGAACACCGGUGGCGAAGGCGGCCCGCUGGGCAACUGCUGACACUGAGGCGCGACAGCGUGGGGAGCAAACAGG